CACGUAGGCGGAUUGUUAAGUCAGGGGUGAAAUCCUGGAGCUCAACUCCAGAACUGCCUUUGAUACUGACGGUCUCGAGUCCGGGAGAGGUGAGUGGAACUGCGAGUGUAGAGGUGAAAUUCGUAGAUAUUCGCAAGAACACCAGUGGCGAAGGCGGCUCACUGGCCCGGUACUGACGCUGAGGUGCGAAAGCGUGGGGAGCAAACA
Molecule: ribosomal RNA, 207 nt
Filed under: uncultured bacterium
Lineage: Bacteria
Description: partial 16S ribosomal RNA
Rfam family: Bacterial small subunit ribosomal RNA
Source: RNAcentral